ACAGCAGAAUAUUGCUUGUGGUUGUAAAAAAGCAGUUUUAUUUGGAGAAAAUGCAACUCCAUCGACACUGUGGAACUACACAUCUGUCUAAGCACUUAUAAAGCUGUUCCCAUACCUCAGAGAAAGAUUGCAACAUGCCUUACUCACUGGAAUAGAACAAAUAUGUCCUGGAAAAUUGUAUUAGAAUAGCCCAGAUGGAGAUUGUCAAAAUAUAAAUCUUUAUAGAUGCAACUGAGAAAACACCAAUGACAUCCUCCAACAUCUCAUCAGCCUUGGGGUCUGUGAUCUACAGCCAGCAUCUCAUGGGCCCUGGUUGGGGCUCAGGGUGAGAACCCCCAAGUGCCUUGUCCAUGGAUGCCAAAAUAUAGCACAGUGACUUCUCUGUAAGGGGAGCAAGGGAGAAAAGUCACUGCCUGCCAAGGACACAGAACAACAAUAGAGGUUUCCCUUUUGCCAUCCAUCUGAAAUGGGAGUGCGCGAUGUGAACUGCUGCUCUGAGCCAGUACAGCACCUCUUACACCUCCGGUGUUUUGCAGGCAUGCAUUUAUAUUGCAACCCAGGCCCAGCGUCCAUGGAGCUGGCCAGGAGCCCACCACCACCCCUCCGAGCCUCCCUGGCUGUGAGCUGCCAGGGCCGGCUUGCAUGUGCUGCACCCGCCCUGAAAAAUGAACUUUCAAAUCAAGAAGAAAUGCAGCCCUAUAAAUCCGUGGAGGUAAGGGAGAGGAAUAUACCUUGCACGUGCUCUGAUUGCAGAUAA
RNAcentral lists this long non-coding RNA (757 nucleotides) under Anas platyrhynchos platyrhynchos (common mallard). Its description in RNAcentral is "lncRNA (ENSAPLG00000027982.1)". The record is from RNAcentral. Lineage: Eukaryota; Metazoa; Chordata; Aves; Anseriformes; Anatidae.